UUUCCUGUUUAGACUUUCACAGACUUUCAUUGUUUUCUUGCUGUUUCAUCUCAUUAGUUGGAAUUGUAAAUUAUGUGUGUUUUCUAGUGCCAUGAAAGUACAAUUCUUGAGAUAUUACAGGCUCUACCAUGGCCAGUAUUCCACAGUUCCACCUUUACCUUGCCUGUAUAACAACUGCAUGUGCACAUUUAGCACAUUUAAUUCGCUGAAGGUACUUUUGUUGAGAACACACUCUGGGAAAACGGUGGUAGGUAGAGACGGUCAUGAUUUGACUAUUGAUAAGGUGUUUCCCUGCCCUGUGUGUGAUUUAUAAGCAGCCGUUUGUUGAAAGGGACAUAUAUGUACAUCUAAGAGAGUAUUUAAGGCAGAAAGAAAUUAUGCUAUUCAUUUAGGGCUUGCAAGUUUAAAACAAAUGUUUACAAUACAUAUAAAGCACACAAAUGGAAACAGCAGUUGUAGUAAGAUAAGAUAAGAUAAUCCUUUAAUAGUCCCAUAACAGGGAAAUUGCAGUGUUACAGCAGCCAAAAGGAUACAGAGGGUGCAGAACAUGCAAAGAUAAGAGCAGGAUGUGCAUUCAAAAAGAAUAAAUACACAGGGAACAAGUACCUGCAGCUGUACACAGUACAGAAAGACUAUUUACACUGGAGUUCCUCAGGUUAUGCUUAGUGGAUGGAUGAAUUAUUGCACAGAUUUUGUUCAGGGACUAAAUAAGUAAAUACUAAUCCUUGUAGUAGUGUUUUACAUGAUUAAAGAUCAUUGCACAAUUAUGAUUACACAUGUAUUAUUGCACAGGUCUGGCGUGACCAUUUUGUCCAGUUAACGCAUUCAUCAGCUUUAAAAUGUCCAGUCUAUCAGCUGUGAAUGUUGUGGAGUCUGACAGUAGUGCAUGUGUGGUUUAUUGGCCGUUAGCUAACUGGCCAGUUAAGAACGACUCAGCCCUCCACUCUACUCAGAUGGCCCUUUUGUACAGUUCAGAUGAUGUAUGACACUUUGGAUAUGGAAAACUUUUUGCACCUCUCGUGAGUGGCCUACAAACUCAUGGAAACUCAUGGUAAAAAUAAAGAAAUAUGAAUGAAAUAAUAAAAA
This is a long non-coding RNA of Scatophagus argus, 1086 nucleotides long. RefSeq lists it as uncharacterized. Lineage: Eukaryota; Metazoa; Chordata; Actinopteri; Scatophagidae. The transcript is spliced from 2 exons. The record is from RefSeq and is a predicted model, not a curated record.